Molecule: transfer RNA, 86 nt
Filed under: Thermoplasmata archaeon
Lineage: Archaea; Methanobacteriati; Thermoplasmatota; Thermoplasmata
Also listed under: 2 other names
Description: tRNA-Ser
Rfam family: tRNA
About the family: Transfer RNA (tRNA) molecules are approximately 80 nucleotides in length. Their secondary structure includes four short double-helical elements and three loops (D, anti-codon, and T loops). Further hydrogen bonds mediate the characteristic L-shaped molecular structure. tRNAs have two regions of fundamental functional importance: the anti-codon, which is responsible for specific mRNA codon recognition, and the 3' end, to which the tRNAs corresponding amino acid is attached (by aminoacyl-tRNA synthetases). tRNAs cope with the degeneracy of the genetic code in two manners: having more than one tRNA (with a specific anti-codon) for a particular amino acid; and 'wobble' base-pairing, i.e. permitting non-standard base-pairing at the 3rd anti-codon position.
Source: RNAcentral
GCCGAGGUAGCUAAGCGGUUUACAGCGGUAGGCUCGAGACCUACUGGGGGGAAACCUCCUCGGGAGUUCGAAUCUCCCCCUCGGCG